AAAUUGAAGAGUUUGAUCAUGGCUCAGAUUGAACGCUGGCGGCAGGCCUAACACAUGCAAGUCGAACGGUAACAGGAAACAGCUUGCUGUUUCGCUGACGAGUGGCGGACGGGUGAGUAAUGUCUGGGAAACUGCCUGAUGGAGGGGGAUAACUACUGGAAACGGUAGCUAAUACCGCAUAACGUCGCAAGACCAAAGAGGGGGACCUUCGGGCCUCUUGCCAUCGGAUGUGCCCAGAUGGGAUUAGCUAGUAGGUGGGGUAACGGCUCACCUAGGCGACGAUCCCUAGCUGGUCUGAGAGGAUGACCAGCCACACUGGAACUGAGACACGGUCCAGA
Molecule: ribosomal RNA, 338 nt
Filed under: Escherichia coli
Lineage: Bacteria; Pseudomonadati; Pseudomonadota; Gammaproteobacteria; Enterobacterales; Enterobacteriaceae
Description: bacterial SSU rRNA
Rfam family: Bacterial small subunit ribosomal RNA
Source: RNAcentral